Molecule: long non-coding RNA, 297 nt
Organism: Amphimedon queenslandica
Lineage: Eukaryota; Metazoa; Porifera; Demospongiae; Haplosclerida; Niphatidae
Exons: 2
Source: RefSeq, a predicted model, not a curated record
UCCCUGGUAAUCUAAAGAAUCUACCUAUAAUCUUGGUAAUCCACUCAUAAUCUUGGAAUUCUCCUGAGAUUUUCUUCCCGUUGCGAACCCCUCGCUUUUAGAAAAAGGGAAUGAUCUUGCUGUAUUAAAUUAACCCCUCUUGAAUGGACAGUGGGUGUGGUCCUGAUGAUCAAUGGGUUAAAAUAAUAAUUGAUUUAGAUCUAAUCGUUGUUACAAUGGCAAUUAUUAUGCAUUAGACUAGAUAUUAUUAUUAUUAAAAAAAAAUUACAUAUCAAUAUAAUUCUAAUACUCAAUGAA